UACGUAGGGUGCAAGCGUUGUCCGGAAUCACUGGGCUUAAAGCGUGUGUAGGCGGAUAUCUAAGUACCUUGUGAAAUCCCACGGCUCAACCGUGGAACUGCUUGGUAUACUGGGUGUCUUGAGCCAUCUAGGGGCUACCGGAACAAAUGGUGGAGCGGUGAAAUGCGUAGAUAUCAUUUGGAACGCCAAUGGUGAAAACAGGUAGCUGGGGAUGUGCUGACGCUGAGACACGAAAGCCAGGGGAGCAAACGGG
This 253-nucleotide ribosomal RNA is filed under the name uncultured bacterium. Its description in RNAcentral is "partial 16S ribosomal RNA". It matches the Rfam family "Bacterial small subunit ribosomal RNA", at positions 524 to 776 of the family's 1533-position model. The record is from RNAcentral.